RNAcentral lists this ribosomal RNA (468 nucleotides) under uncultured bacterium. RNAcentral's name for it is "partial 16S ribosomal RNA". It matches the Rfam family "Bacterial small subunit ribosomal RNA", at positions 28 to 507 of the family's 1533-position model. The record is from RNAcentral.
GACGAACGCUGGCGGCGUGCUUAACACAUGCAAGUCGAACGGAAAGGCCCUGCUUUUGUGGGGUGCUCGAGUGGCGAACGGGUGAGUAACACGUGAGUAACCUGCCCUUGACUUUGGGAUAACUUCAGGAAACUGGGGCUAAUACCGGAUAGGAGCUCCGGCUGCAUGGGGGGGGUGGGAAAGUUUCGGCGGUUGGGGAUGGACUCGCGGCUUAUCAGCUUGUUGGUGGGGUAGUGGCUUACCAAGGCUUUGACGGGUAGCCGGCCUGAGAGGGUGACCGGCCACAUUGGGACUGAGAUACGGCCCAGACUCCUACGGGAGGCAGCAGUGGGGAAUAUUGCACAAUGGGCGGAAGCCUGAUGCAGCAACGCCGCGUGCGGGAUGACGGCCUUCGGGUUGUAAACCGCUUUCGCCUGUGACGAAGCGUGAGUGACGGUAAUGGGUAAAGAAGCACCGGCUAACUACGUG